AAACCAUGGGCACCCUUGGGUCCCUUGGGGUCACUAUGUUACACCUGCUUUUUAUCUGUCUGGGCAAGAGCUGCUCAAGCCACACCUUGUGACACUGAGGUGAAAAGGCAGGUCGGGUGAAGAAGAGCAGGAUGUUUCAUUUUUAUCAAGCAUCACCUGAUUCAAAAUGUAGCCACUGAAAAGAAGCCAUCGUUUUUGGCCUGCGUCUCUGAGGAUAAGAUAGUGCCAGCCUCAGGAGGACAACGUCAGAAACCAAAAGCUCCUCUGCCCAGGGAUGGGGACCCGCCGACUUCAAGGGCAGAACAGAUCAGCUAUGAAAAUACCCAGCCGGCCUGCAGCCCUCCCGGCAGAUGCUGAAAAGGAAACCCGACUGGGAGAUGCCGCCCACCCUUAUCCCCAGAGAGCUGCGUUGUUUCCUCUUGCCUUGGCCUUUGGAUCCGGCCAUAGCAAGCAUCCCUGGGCACCUGGCUGAAGCUGGAAACUCGGGAUAAGAAUGGAAGCCCUGGAAGGGAAGAAGAACCGAGGAGAGGACAGCACAUUGCACUCUCACCUCCUUUGCAGUUAAGUGUGAAAUAGUGCCAAUAGAGUGUAAAAGAAAAGAAAGAAGAUGAUUCACCUCCCAAAGAUUCCCCACUGCUGUGUCCCUUCUAUCAACUUGAUACAAAAAAACACAAUGGCCCCGGGAACCACGUGUUGAAGAUGAGAGAGCUAAAAGAUGGAAAGAGACUGGAGCCCUGAGUCACCACCUGGAGGAAAACUACCCACCCAUCAGGAAUUUCUACUACACAUUUGGGAGUUUUUGGGGUUACAGCAGCUAAUUUAACGAAAACACCCAGAGACAAGAGCUAUUACUGCACAAAUUGGUUAAGUUACCUUUUUGUAUGUUUGGGUCCUCUCUAUUCGAUGAGACUGCGCGUUCCUUUGAAGCAAAUCUGUUUAAAAUUCUUAUAUCCCCAGAGGGCCUAGCAGAGAGUAUGCACAGAGUGAGCCUUCAGUAAAUGCUGAGUAAAUAAGCUCCUAAUGGA
Molecule: long non-coding RNA, 1025 nt
Filed under: Homo sapiens (human)
Lineage: Eukaryota; Metazoa; Chordata; Mammalia; Primates; Hominidae
Description: long intergenic non-protein coding RNA 1093
Source: RNAcentral